Molecule: ribosomal RNA, 465 nt
Filed under: uncultured bacterium
Lineage: Bacteria
Description: bacterial SSU rRNA
Rfam family: Bacterial small subunit ribosomal RNA
Source: RNAcentral
GAUGAACGCUGGCGGCGUGCUUAACACAUGCAAGUCGAGCGGGCAAUUUAUCUAGCACUGAUUACUUCAAAUGGAAAUCAUAAGUGUAAUCAUGAAUUUCUACCUUUAAUAAAGAAAAAGAAAUUCAUGUACGCAAAUAGUGAUAACACAUUUUAGUGGAGUGAUGAGUGCUGGAUAAAUUGCUAGCGGCGGACGGAUGCGUAACACGUGGGUAACCUGCCCCUAUCACUGGGAUAACACACUGAAAAGUGUGCUAAUACCAGAUAAUAUAAGCUUUUGGCAUCAUUAGCUUAUCAAAGAAUUUCGGAUAGGGAUGGGCCCGCGUCUGAUUAGCUAGUUGGUGAGGUAACGGCUCACCAAGGCAACGAUCAGUAGCCGACCUGAGAGGGUGAUCGGCCACACUGGAACUGAGACACGGUCCAGACUCCUACGGGAGGCAGCAGUGGGGAAUAUUGCACAAUGGGC